GGAGGAUGCGAGCGUUAUCCGGAUUUAUUGGGUUUAAAGGGUGCGUAGGCGGUUCCUUAAGUAAGCGGUAAAAUCGCGGGGCUCAACCCCGCCGAGCCGUUUAGACUGGGGGACUUGAGACGGCGAGAAGUACGCGGAAUGCGCGGUGUAGCGGUGAAAUGCAUAGAUAUCGCGCAGAACUCCGAUUGCGAAGGCAGCGUACCGGCGCCGUUCUGACGCUGAGGCACGAAAGCGUGGGGAUCGAA
Molecule: ribosomal RNA, 245 nt
Filed under: uncultured bacterium
Lineage: Bacteria
Description: partial 16S ribosomal RNA
Rfam family: Bacterial small subunit ribosomal RNA
Source: RNAcentral